CUACCCUUGACAUGUACGGAACUUGCCAGAGAUGGCUUGGUGCUCGAAAGAGAGCCGUAACACAGGUGCUGCAUGGCUGUCGUCAGCUCGUGUCGUGAGAUGUUGGGUUAAGUCCCGCAACGAGCGCAACCCUUGUCAUUAAUUGCCAUCAUUUAGUUGGGCACUUUAAUGAGACUGCCGGUGACAAACCGGAGGAAGGUGGGGAUGACGUCAAGUCCUCAUGGCCCUUAUGGGUAGGGCUUCACACGUAAUACAAUGGUCGGUACAGAGGGCAGCCAACCCGCGAGGGGGAGCCAAUCCCAGAAAACCGAUCGUAGUCCGGAUUGCAGUCUGCAACUCGACUGCAUGAAGUCGGAAUCGCUAGUAAUCGCGGAUCAGCAUGUCGCGGUGAAUACGUUCCC
Molecule: ribosomal RNA, 401 nt
Filed under: uncultured bacterium
Lineage: Bacteria
Description: bacterial SSU rRNA
Rfam family: Bacterial small subunit ribosomal RNA
Source: RNAcentral